ACUCUUACGGGAGGCAGCAGUGGGGAAUCUUGCACAAUGGGGGAAACCCUGAUGCAGCGACGCCGCGUGAGUGAUGAAGCCCUUCGGGGUGUAAAGCUCUUUCGGCAGGGACGAUAAUGACGGUACCUGCGGAAGAAGCUGCGGCUAACUACGUGCCAGCAGCCGCGGUAAUACGUAGGCAGCAAGCGUUGUUCGGAAUUACUGGGCGUAAAGAGUGUGUAGGUGGUGUCGUAAGUUUGGCGUGAAAUCUCCCGGCUUAACUGGGAGGGUGCGCCGAAGACUGCGAUGCUUGAGGGUGGGAGAGGUAAGCGGAAUUCCUGGUGUAGCGGUGAAAUGCGUAGAUAUCAGGAGGAACACCUGCGGUGUAGACGGCUUACUGGACCACACCUGACACUGAGACACGAAAGCGUGGGUAGCAAACAGGAUUAGAUACCCUGGUAGUCCACGCCCUAAACGAUGCAUACUUGGUGUGAGCCAUUCACUUGGUUCGUGCCGGAGCUAACGCGUUAAGUAUGCCGCC
Molecule: ribosomal RNA, 520 nt
Filed under: uncultured bacterium
Lineage: Bacteria
Description: bacterial SSU rRNA
Rfam family: Bacterial small subunit ribosomal RNA
Source: RNAcentral